GCCUUCCUUUCAUUGUCAAAGAUAAAAGUGAUAGUCACAUAGAGGUAUCUGUUGCUGUUGACAUUGGGACCUGAAUUGUUAAGGUGGAUGACAAUGGAUCUGGUGUCUCACGAGAUGGACAGAUGCUGAGGAGAGAAUGAUAUGGUAAUCAUUUUGCAAAAUAUUGGACUGACAACGAUUAUGUUCGUAACUUGGAAUGGUUGUCGUAGU
This 210-nucleotide unclassified non-coding RNA is filed under the name Hevea brasiliensis (rubber tree). Lineage: Eukaryota; Viridiplantae; Streptophyta; Magnoliopsida; Malpighiales; Euphorbiaceae. The record is from RNAcentral.